UGGGGAAUAUUGCACAAUGGGCGAAAGCCUGAUGCAGCGACGCCGCGUGAGGGAUGACGGCCUUCGGGUUGUAAACCUCUUUCAGCAGGGAAGAAGCGAAAGUGACGGUACCUGCAGAAGAAGCGCCGGCUAACUACGUGCCAGCAGCCGCGGUAAUACGUAGGGCGCAAGCGUUGUCCGGAAUUAUUGGGCGUAAAGAGCUCGUAGGCGGUUAGUCGCGUCUGCUGUGAAAACUCGAGGCUCACCUCGGCUUGCAGUGGGUACGGGCUGACUAGAGUGCGGUAGGGGUGACUGGAAUUCCUGGUGUAGCGGUGGAAUGCGCAGAUAUCAGGAGGAACACCGAUGGCGAAGGCAGGUCACUGGGCCGGCAACUGACGCUGAGGAGCGAAAGCAUGGGGAGCGAACAGGAUUAGAUAGCCCUGGUAGUCCAUGCCGUAAACGUU
This 443-nucleotide ribosomal RNA is filed under the name uncultured bacterium. RNAcentral describes it as "partial 16S ribosomal RNA". It matches the Rfam family "Bacterial small subunit ribosomal RNA", at positions 355 to 810 of the family's 1533-position model. The record is from RNAcentral.